UACGUAGGGGGCAAGCGUUGUCCGGAAUUACUGGGCGUAAAGGGCGUGUAGGCGGUUUUUUAAGUCAGAUGUGAAAGUUCGGGGCUCAACCUCGGAAUUGCAUUUGAAACUGGAGAACUUGAGUACUGGAGAGGUAAGUGGAAUUCCUAGUGUAGCGGUGAAAUGCGUAGAUAUUAGGAGGAACACCAGUGGCGAAGGCGACUUACUGGACAGAUACUGACGCUGAGGCGCGAAAGCGUGGGGAGCGAAC
RNAcentral lists this ribosomal RNA (250 nucleotides) under uncultured bacterium. Its description in RNAcentral is "partial 16S ribosomal RNA". It matches the Rfam family "Bacterial small subunit ribosomal RNA", at positions 524 to 773 of the family's 1533-position model. The record is from RNAcentral. RNAcentral also lists the same sequence under 1 other name.